Canis lupus familiaris (dog) is the source of this 2047-nucleotide long non-coding RNA. RefSeq lists it as uncharacterized. NCBI's taxonomy places the organism in Eukaryota, Metazoa, Chordata, Mammalia, Carnivora, Canidae. The record is from RefSeq and is a predicted model, not a curated record. The transcript is spliced from 3 exons.
GGGAAGUUCCAAGGCCCCAUGGUGUAAACAGAAGGCAUAUCAGUAUGGCUGAGCAGAAUGACAGAAUAGGAGAAUGAAAGAACUUAAGACAAGAAAAACGAUAGAAAGGGUGUGAACACCAUGUAGGCCUUGGAAGUCAUGAACAAAGCUUUAGAAUUUAUUCUAAAACUGGAAGUCACUGGAGGCCUCUGAGCUACAGAAUUCUAUGAUGGGACUCACAUUUUUAAAAGAUCACUCUAGCUGCUGUUUCAAGACCAGAUUCUAAAUGAGCAUUAAUUAGGAAACUAUUACUAUAAGCCAGGCGAGAAAUGAUGCAUCCUGGGAAAAUGUGGUGCAGUCCAGGUGGCAAGAAGUGGCUGAUGAUGAACGUAUUUUGAAGAUUCAGUUAGUAGGAUUUACCAAUGAUUAAAUAUGAUGCAAGAGAAAGAGAUGAGUCAAACCUCAAGUUCUUGUCCUGAGCAAGUGGAAACUAAUAUUUCUUGAGAUAGGGAAGUAUGUAGAAGAAGCAGGUUGGAGUGGAGAAGGGAGGUUAAGUAAAAAUGUGUUAAAUGUGCAAUGCCUUGUACACAUUCAAAUGCAAUCAAUAUCAGGUUGCUGAAUAUAAAAGCUUAAAGCCCAGGAACAUGAUAAGCACCAAAAAUACAAUUUUAAGAAUCACCAGUGAAUAUAUAGUAUUUACAGCCAAGGAGCUGGAUAAGAUAUCCUAGAGAGUGAAUCCAACUGGAAAAGAAAGGAAGUUCAAAGAUUGAGCCCAAGGGCACUCCAAUGUUUAGCUGUUGGGAGAUGAGGAGGAAGUCAAAAAGAAGCAAUCUCAAGGGAGACAGAAACUAACAGGUCAGUGUCCCAGAUGCUAAGCAAAGAGUAUUUUCAAGAGCAGAGUGAUAAUUGUGCUAAUUCUGCAGUAUCUGUCAAAAUGCAAAGUGAGCAGAGUCUCUCAUUCAGCAAUCCCAUUUUGAACUAUUUAUUCUAUAGUAACAUAUAAGCACAUAUGAAAACUGCUCUGCAUGGACAUUUAUUAAAUUAUCAUUUGUUAUAGCAAAUUAAAUGCUCAUCAGCAGGGGACUAUUUAAAUUACGGAGCAUCUGAACAAGAGAAUAAUUUUUUAAGAAUAGAAGAGUAUGAGGAAAGACAGAAUCAGUGGAGCCAACCACUAAAGUAAGGCAACCUGACGGGUUAGAAGCAACUUGAAACAAGCUCUCACUUCUGAUGAAGCAGACUUGGAGAAGAGAACCAUCAAGAAUGCUACUGUCCAAUAAAGCCAGCUCUGGUGACAGAAAACUUUCUUGUGCUGCCCAAAACGAGACAAAUGAUAGAAACUCCUUUCUCAUCACUAACCAGAAUUUGGAAAAUUCAAAUCCAAAUUGUACUGCAAAAUUGCCUUCGCUCAGUAAAUCAAACAGAUCUUCCUUUACUUUCAUCAACAGAUGUAGUGUGAAAAUUUCCUAUGAUAGUAUAAAUAAAUUGUGAAUAUAACUGAAAGCAUACACCUAAAUCCAUGAUGCAGCUCUUCCUUAAGUAUACAAGGUGUUGCUCUACUUGUCCUAAUGAUCCUUCUUUACUAUUCAAAUCGUGCAACAAACUAAAUGCCACAAAUCCAUCUUUUUUAAGCACACGUUUCCAAGGCCAAAUUUUUGCACCGAAUCCAUAAAUUCUGUCAGUACACAUGAAUUCAUUGUUAUGAGAUCCUGGCAAUUUUCUAUUAGGUUUAUUCACUCAGCUAAUGAAGCUAUUUUUUUCAAGGCAGUAACUACCUUUUAACAAAUCUUUAACAAAUCAGAACUGUUUACAGAAAAAGUUUGAAUUCUCCUUCUCGUCCAUAAACUUUUGACAAAACUCUACUUUGGAUAUACACUGCCUCUCAGUAUGAAACUGUGGAAAGCUAUAUUCCAACCCCAUUUCUUCAUGUGAAGCUAAAACAGAUGUGAAUAAAGCAGCUUCAGCUAUAUUAUAUUCUCCAUUUAGAUAUAUCAAACUAUGUGAAAUUCAUGUACAGGCAAUCUUUUACACAAGAGAGUUUCUCUGAGAAUAAAAUACCAUAUUAUUUGAA